Molecule: ribosomal RNA, 382 nt
Filed under: uncultured eukaryote
Lineage: Eukaryota
Description: partial 18S ribosomal RNA
Rfam family: Eukaryotic small subunit ribosomal RNA
Source: RNAcentral
CAAUAGCGUAUAUUAAAGUUGUUGCAGUUAAAAAGCUCGUAGUUGGAUUUCUGGUUGAAGCGACCGGUCGGGCGUUGAUUCGUCUGCACUGGAGUCGGUUUUGGCCAUCCUCUAGGAAAGUGCGUCUGGUAUUAAGUUAUCGGGCGUAUGAUCCUGGUCUUUUACUGUGAAAAAAUUAGAGUGUUUAAAGCAGGCCUUCGCCUUGAAUACAUUAGCAUGGAAUAAUAAGAUAGGACUUUGGUCUAUUUUGUUGGUUUGCAGACCGAAGUAAUGAUUAAUAGGGAGAGUUGGGGGUAUUUAUAUUCCGAUGUCAGAGGUGAAAUUCUUAGAUUUUCGGAAGAUAAACUUAUGCGAAAGCAUUUACCAAGGAUGUUUUCAUUAA